UACGAAGGGGGCUAGCGUUGCUCGGAAUUACUGGGCGUAAAGAGCUCGUAGGUGGUUUGUCGCGUUGUUCGUGAAAACUCACAGCUUAACUGUGGGCGUGCGGGCGAUACGGGCAGACUGGAGUACUGCAGGGGAGACUGGAAUUCCUGGUGUAGCGGUGGAAUGCGCAGAUAUCAGGAGGAACACCCGUGGCGAAGGCGGCUCUCUGGGACGGUACUGACGCUGAGACGCGAAAGCGUGGGGAGCGAACAGG
RNAcentral lists this ribosomal RNA (253 nucleotides) under uncultured bacterium. RNAcentral's name for it is "partial 16S ribosomal RNA". It matches the Rfam family "Bacterial small subunit ribosomal RNA", at positions 524 to 776 of the family's 1533-position model. The record is from RNAcentral.